Molecule: ribosomal RNA, 249 nt
Filed under: uncultured prokaryote
Description: partial 16S ribosomal RNA
Rfam family: Bacterial small subunit ribosomal RNA
Source: RNAcentral
UACGGAGGAUGCAAGCGUUAUCCGGAUUUAUUGGGUUUAAAGGGUGCGUAGGCGGCCGAGUAAGUCAGCGGUGAAAUUUUGCAGCUUAACUGUAACAGUGCCGUUGAUACUGCAUGGCUAGGAUUUGGUUGCUGUGGGUGGAAUGUGUGGUGUAGCGGUGAAAUGCUUAGAUAUCACACAGAAUAUCGAUUGCGAAGGCAGCUCACAAAGCCAAGAUUGACGCUGAGGCACGAAAGUGUGGGGAUCAAA